Molecule: non-coding RNA, 89 nt
Filed under: bovine gut metagenome
Description: Glycine riboswitch
Rfam family: Glycine riboswitch aptamer
About the family: This family represents the bacterial glycine riboswitch. Glycine riboswitches usually consist of two metabolite-binding aptamers domains with similar structures in tandem. The aptamers cooperatively bind glycine to regulate the expression of downstream genes.
Source: RNAcentral
CAAGAGAGAGCCCUAAAAGGGUCGCCGAAGAGGCAAGCGGUUAACCGGCCAACGGGCCGUGAAACUUUCAGGCAAAAGGACUGGAACGG